This 27-nucleotide non-coding RNA is filed under the name Mus musculus (house mouse). The record is from RNAcentral. Lineage: Eukaryota; Metazoa; Chordata; Mammalia; Rodentia; Muridae.
UUAGCAGUAGCGUCUUGCAGUCUGCAA